GAUGAACGCUGGCGGCGUGCUUAACACAUGCAAGUCGAACGAAGCACUUUAUUUGAUUUCCUUCGGGACUGAUUAUUUUGUGACUGAGUGGCGGACGGGUGAGUAACGCGUGGGUAACCUGCCUUGUACAGGGGGAUAACAGUUGGAAACGGCUGCUAAUACCGCAUAAGCGCACGGCAUCGCAUGAUGCAGUGUGAAAAACUCCGGUGGUAUAAGAUGGACCCGCGUUGGAUUAGCUAGUUGGUGAGGUAACGGCCCACCAAGGCGACGAGCCAUAGCCGACCUGAGAGGGUGACCGGCCACAUUGGGACUGAGACACGGCCCAAACUCCUACGGGAGGCAGCAGUGGGGAAUAUUGCACAAUGGGCGAAAGCCUGAUGCAGCGACGCCGCGUGAGCGAAGAAGUAUUUCGGUAUGUAAAGCUCUAUCAGCAGGGAAGAUAAUGACGGUACCUGACUAAGAAGCACCGGCUAAAUACGUG
Molecule: ribosomal RNA, 481 nt
Filed under: uncultured bacterium
Lineage: Bacteria
Description: partial 16S ribosomal RNA
Rfam family: Bacterial small subunit ribosomal RNA
Source: RNAcentral